RNAcentral lists this ribosomal RNA (172 nucleotides) under Clupea pallasii (Pacific herring). RNAcentral's name for it is "partial 12S ribosomal RNA". Lineage: Eukaryota; Metazoa; Chordata; Actinopteri; Clupeiformes; Clupeidae. The record is from RNAcentral.
CACCGCGGUUAUACGAGAGACCCUAGUUGAUAUACUCGGCGUAAAGAGUGGUUAUGGAAAACAAGCACUAAAGCCAAAGAGCCCUCAGGCCGUUAUACGCACCCGGGGCCUCGAACCACUAUCACGAAAGUAGCUUUACCCUCGCCCACCAGAACCCACGAGAGCUGGGACA